GCCGGGCGUGGUGGUUCACGCCUGUAAUCUCAGCACUUUGGGAGGCCGAGGUGGGUGGAUCACCUGAGGUCAGGAGUUCAAGACCAGCCUGACCAACAUGGAGAAACCCCAUCUCUA
Papio anubis (olive baboon) is the source of this 117-nucleotide unclassified non-coding RNA. It matches the Rfam family "Metazoan signal recognition particle RNA". Rfam says of the family: The signal recognition particle (SRP) is a universally conserved ribonucleoprotein. It is involved in the co-translational targeting of proteins to membranes. The eukaryotic SRP consists of a 300-nucleotide 7S RNA and six proteins: SRPs 72, 68, 54, 19, 14, and 9. The record is from Ensembl. Lineage: Eukaryota; Metazoa; Chordata; Mammalia; Primates; Cercopithecidae.